This 409-nucleotide RNase P RNA is filed under the name Buchnera aphidicola (Stegophylla sp.). RNAcentral describes it as "Bacterial RNase P class A". It matches the Rfam family "Bacterial RNase P class A". From Rfam's summary of the family: Ribonuclease P (RNase P) is a ubiquitous endoribonuclease, found in archaea, bacteria and eukarya as well as chloroplasts and mitochondria. The record is from Rfam by way of RNAcentral. Lineage: Bacteria; Pseudomonadati; Pseudomonadota; Gammaproteobacteria; Enterobacterales; Erwiniaceae.
AAAAUUGACCAAACAGUCGCUAUUUAACAAUGAUAAUAUUAAAUAGAGGAAAGUCCGGGCUCCAUAGAGCAAGGCGCCAGAUAAUCCCUGGGAAGUAUUAAUGCUGACGACAAGUGCAACAGAAAAAAUACCGCUUGAAUUACAUAUAAUAUUUUAUCAUUAUUAUAUAAAAUAUUUAAGUAAGGGUGAAAAGGAGUGUUAAAAGCACACCGCAUAUUUAGUAAUAAAUAUGGCUAUGCAAACUCCGCCUGGAGAAAAGUUAAAUAAGAUUACGUACAGCUCUGUAUCAUAAAAUCUGGGUAAACUGCUGAAACCGUAAAGUAAUUUUUUUUUUUUUUUUUUUUUUUUUUUUGGGGUUUAGAUAAAUGACUGUUUCUUACAGAACCCGGCUUAUAGGUCAAUUUUAUUA